UACAGAGGGCGCAAGCGUUGCUCGGAUUUACUGGGCGUAAAGCGUACGCAGACGGUAAGAAAGGUCGGAUGUGAAAGCCCCGGGCUCAACCCGGGAACUGCAUCCGAAACCAUCUUGCUAGAGUAUGGGAGAGGGAAGCGGAAUUCCUGGUGUAGAGGUGAAAUUCGUAGAUAUCAGGAGGAACACCGGCGGCGAAGGCGGCUUCCUGGCCCAUUACUGACGUUCAGGUACGAAAGCGUGGGUAGCAAACAGG
Molecule: ribosomal RNA, 253 nt
Filed under: uncultured bacterium
Lineage: Bacteria
Description: partial 16S ribosomal RNA
Rfam family: Bacterial small subunit ribosomal RNA
Source: RNAcentral